RNAcentral lists this ribosomal RNA (499 nucleotides) under uncultured bacterium. Its description in RNAcentral is "bacterial SSU rRNA". It matches the Rfam family "Bacterial small subunit ribosomal RNA", at positions 899 to 1397 of the family's 1533-position model. The record is from RNAcentral.
ACUCAAAGGAAUUGACGGGGGCCCGCACAAGCGGAGGAACAUGUGGUUUAAUUCGAUGAUACGCGAGGAACCUUACCCGGGCUUGAAAUGCAGAAGACGUACCGAGAAAUCGGUAUUCCAGCAAUGGCUUCUGUGUAGGUGCUGCAUGGUUGUCGUCAGCUCGUGCCGUGAGGUGUCGGCUUAAGUGCCAUAACGAGCGCAACCCUUAUCAUUAGUUACUAACAGGUUAAGCUGAGGACUCUAAUGAGACUGCCACCGUAAGGUGUGAGGAAGGUGGGGAUGACGUCAAAUCAGCACGGCCCUUACGUCCGGGGCGACACACGUGUUACAAUGGGGGGUACAGAGGGUCGCUACCACGCGAGUGGAUGCCAAUCUCGUAAAGCCUCUCUCAGUUCGGAUUGGAGUCUGCAACUCGACUCCAUGAAGCUGGAUUCGCUAGUAAUCGCGCAUCAGCCAUGGCGCGGUGAAUACGUUCCCGGGCCUUGUACACACCGCCCGU